Molecule: long non-coding RNA, 720 nt
Filed under: Marmota monax (woodchuck)
Lineage: Eukaryota; Metazoa; Chordata; Mammalia; Rodentia; Sciuridae
Source: RNAcentral
UCUAGCUGAUUGGCUCUUCGGCCCCAGCAACAUCUAGCUGAUUGGCUCCUCUGCGGUGAUGCUCAUUGGACUGUUUCCCUGCCCUUUCAGACCACGGAGCUACUCAUUGGGGGACUUUUUUGGCUCCGCUCAUAUGACCCAGCCAAUCGGCCUCAAGAGCAGGAGGAUUGUGGGAGGUAGAGAGAAGCUUGUGUGGGAGAGAGAGGCUUAUGGAAAGCCGGUAAUAGCAGUUGAGGCUCUGAAGGUUUUUCCUGAGAAGCUGUUUUGUUUGGUGUGUGUGGUUCUAAAAAUAAAGUUAGUUUCUUUUGACAAGUGGCUCCUGAUUGUGCCCAGCCAGACUGCGGCAUUUGGUGGCCCGUAUGGGGAACAACUAAGGGUAAGUGAAACUGCUCGCCCCUGAGGGCAGGGCGAGAGGAUGGGUAGCCAUUUUAAGAUUCCUCUUUUAUUUUGCUUCACUUUUGUUUUAAGUUGCCUGUCCCUGGAGAUGAGUGAGACAGAAGAAAAACAGCUCACAUCUGAGGAAAAACUAUUUACGUCUGAGGAACAGAUAAGGAGAAAGGACAGAUGCCNAAGGAUGUUGAAAUCCUAGUAUGUGUCAAUGCCAACUUUAUUUGGAAACAGGGUCUUUGCAAAUGAUUGAGUUAAGGUGGCAUCAUCAAGUCGAAUGUGUCCCUAUAAAAAUGGGAAAUUUGGGCACAGACAUGCACAGAGGGAAGAUAU